ACGCGUCCACACGGGUGCCCUCGCAAGGGCUGAGAUCGGGCUGACGCGGCCUGCGACCGUCGAACCUGUCCGGGUCAUGCCGGCGUAGGAAGUGAGAGCUUUCCCUUG
This 108-nucleotide non-coding RNA is filed under the name Sinomonas sp. RNAcentral describes it as "TPP sequence". It matches the Rfam family "TPP riboswitch aptamer (THI element)". Rfam says of the family: Vitamin B(1) in its active form thiamin pyrophosphate (TPP) is an essential coenzyme that is synthesised by coupling of pyrimidine and thiazole moieties in bacteria. RNAcentral also lists the same sequence under 1 other name. The record is from RNAcentral. Lineage: Bacteria; Bacillati; Actinomycetota; Actinomycetes; Micrococcales; Micrococcaceae.